Frieseomelitta varia is the source of this 380-nucleotide long non-coding RNA. RefSeq lists it as uncharacterized. The transcript has 2 exons. Lineage: Eukaryota; Metazoa; Arthropoda; Insecta; Hymenoptera; Apidae. The record is from RefSeq and is a predicted model, not a curated record.
GAGAAGGAUAAGACGAAGAAAAAGACGAAUAAAAAAGAAGAAGAAGAAGAAGAAGAAGAAGAAGAAGAAGAAGAAAAGGAACAUUUGAAUCUAUGCCGCUUGUCUUCUCUCUCGCGCGCGCAUCUAUGUGUAUACUCGGUCAUUCACUGGCUAGCUCACUUUCGAUACCAGGCCGGAAAAGGUUGCCGACCGACCGUAGGAGUUGUUGCUCGCACUGAAAGGGCCUGUUUCCAUCUCUCUCUCUGUUACUAGAACGCUCCUUUUCCCGUCGACUGAUGCACCAACCAUUCCGAAGGAUGCAGCUCUCAGCAGAUUUUCACACGGCAGGUAUCCCUUCGUAAGAUUCUAGCGUGCAAAUGUGUUCGAAAUCUGCACGCGCG